UGAAGGACACUAGAAUUUUAGCUAACUCUUAAAUGGUAAGAUAUAGAGAAGUGACAUGGAAACAUUCUAGCUCUGAAAAAUCACAUGAGCAACACUGAAACCAUACAAAUGGUUGCGAACAAUUACCAAAAGGAAAAUUGAUACCAUUCCUUCAUAUUUGCAAUGACCACAUGACCAAUACAACAAAAAAUUCUGUUCACAAGAGCCAUAAAUUUUUUUAAAUUACAAAACACUUAGAAAUAAAUUUCUCAAGAAAUGUGGAAGAUCUAGAGGAUAAUGCUCUGAAAUGUUUCUGUAAGGCCGACUGAAUAAAUAAAGCAAGAAGGCCAUUCCUCUAUGACAUGACUCAAUACCAAUACUGCUGAUCAUUUCUCUUAAUUAAUACAUUCAGUAGAAAUUCAGUAACCUAUCCUAAUGCUUUUAGAACUCUUCAAAACCUGACAAGUUGAUGCUAAAAGACAUGUAAAAGAAAAAUACAACUUGAAUAGCAAAGAAUUUUAACAAAAGAAGAGAUACUUCCUUGAUAUAAAUAAAACUAUAGAAAAUUAAACAGCAGGAGUAAAGAUACCAGAAAUGAUAGAUAGAUCAAUAGAACCAAUGAAAAUAUUCAUAAGCAAUCCCAGCUAUUUAGGGCUGAAAGUAUUAAAAGGUGGCAUUUCAAAGUAGUGGGGAAGGAUAUACUAUUCAAUUUGCCCAUGAAGUGUUGGAACAAUCAGCUAUAAAUUACACAAAAAAAUUAAAUUUAGAUCCCUGCAUCACAUUAAUCACAUUUUAAUUUUCAUCAUAUUAAAAGGCUAAAUGUGAAAAAAAAAAAAAACCCUCUGGUAGCAGAGGAGAAAACAGGGGAAAUUGUUUAUAACCUCAGGGAAAGCCAGGAACCUACCUUAAACAGAUAGAAAGCAGAGAAACAAUAAAGGGAAAAUGGAUAAAUGUAACUACAUAAAAACCUGUAAUCUCUACUACAAAUAAGAACCCCAGUCAGGGAGAAAAGAUUUGCCUUCUUUGCACAAAGAACUAUACCCAAAAUUUUAAAACUCCAGACACCUCCCUUCCCUCUACUAUCAUGCCAGUAUGAACAUAGCUCAUAAAUCAGCAAGGAUCUCUUGGAUCUUUCCUUCUCCUAGAUAUCCAUUUUCAGGGAUACAAGGAGACUCAUAUAAACUGUAGACCCCAGAUUACAGGUAAGAACUGGAAAGAAAUCUCAAGAUAGGAUGGGAGUAAUGCAGAAGGCAAUAUAGCUCAGAGAACACAGACAGUACUCUUUCAAAAGUGUGAACACAGGAUCAUGGCAAGGGUUAUACCCCAUUUUUGCCACCAUGGUUGUGAGAUGUACAUCGAGCUGCCAAAAAAAAAAAAAAAAAAAAAGGCCCCAUUGGAUACAGUUUUGUUUCAAAACCCAAUGAGAUUUGGCCACAGAUAAAUCAUUUUCCAAAGCAGAAGGAAAGAAAAGCAACUAGAAUGGAAUUCUGCUCUGGUUUAUCUAAUACCCCACAGGAAACUUGUAAGUAGGUGGUCCCGGAAAGGCCAAUUCAUUCAAAGUUACAUAAAAUACAGGGAACUGGCACAAUAUCAAUGCAAAGAUACAAUAAUAGAAAAUAAAAGGUAUGUUUAAAUCUGUUAUUAACAAAUGAAUAACACUCAGCAGAAGAAAAAAAUGUUGCCAAAGAACAGAAAAAUCUGCACCAGAAUUGUAUGAGAAAUUUAGCACACCUUGAAACGGAACCACAGACAUACAAGCCUUAUACCAUCAGAAAUACUACACAACACACACACACACACACACAACAGAAAUGCAAAGUAGUAGAGACUUCCUAGUAAAAUGCUUUUUAAUAUCGAUAAAGCCAGAAAAUAUAUAAUACUAAAAAACUAAGACCAAACUUCUCUGUCAUUUAAGUAAAUGUAAAUGAGCCAAACCCAACUACUUAAAGAAGAAUUUUUGUCUGGUUCCAAAGCAAAAACAAUUGUAUAUGGAAGAAAAAUCUAAAUGGAACUGAAAAGGUUGAGCAAAACAAAACCAAAGACAGAGAAAAAAAGUGAGAGAGAAAUCAUGAUCUUAUAAAAAGAGCUCAUAAAAUACACAGCCAAAAAUAGCAAGAUCAGACAAACAAAUAGUAAAGCAAAGACAACUAUCACAAAUUCCAAAAGGUACAAUUCAGCAUGAAGACAUGGUUCCAAUAUCAUACAGCAAAAAGUAUAGGAGAUACAAGGAGGAACGGGCAGAAAUAAGCUGAUACUAGAAGAUCCUAAACCAAGUCCAAAGCCUAACGCAAGUAGACAAAACCAAAUCAGUAUUUAAAUGAUUUAAGUAACAUAAUAAGUAAGUUAUAUAAUUUAUAUAGAAAACAGUGAAAAUCCCUUCUAGUUGAGUAGUUACGGGCAAUUCAUAAAAGUUAGCUACAUAUGUGACCCCAAAGACAUUCAUUCAAAAAGCACCAAACUGACAACCACAGUCUGAUAGGCAGAUUUGGAACCGGGGGACCCUCCUCCACUGGUGUCAAGUCCAUGAGUCACAUGGCCAAAGAUUCCAUUAGGUUAUUCAUCAACUGACCUUCAAGUAGGAAGAUCACCUUGGAAUAGCCAAGUGGAGCCCUUGAAAGCAGAGCUUUCUCCCUGUUGAGGAGGUGGGAGUCAGAAAAAGGCAGACAACAUCCCAAAGCACAAGUAAGACAGGAACUUUGCCGGCUCCAAAUGGAGAGGGCCGCAAGGAAAGCCUGAUAAGGAAGUUAAUUCUGCCAAGAAUCACUGAGGUUGGAAGAGGAUCCGGGCUUUCCUCUGGCUGUUUUUUUUGCUUCCAGCUCUGUGAGACCCUGAGUGGAGAGACCAGCACAGUUGCCCUUCAGAACCAAGGUCGCCAAUGCAUGCUGCUUGAUGCUGCUGGACUGGAGGUAGCUUAUUAAACAACAGAAAACCUCAGCUCAAGAAGCAGAGUUAAACCAGAACAUCCAGUGGAACCCCUCAGGUUGGCAGGGGUGAGCAUUUCUCCCAGGCUGGAGCUGCCUCCUUAAUUCCAGAAUUCCACGGUUGUGUGUGUUUUGCAAAGCUGUGCCGUGCUGGACAACAGGGAACAAGCAGCUACCACCUUCCCACCUGCCUGUGAACAGCACCGUGCCAUGACCAUCAGCAGCACACAGGUUCGCCUGACUAGACGUCUUGUUUCCUAGCAUGACGAUCCCAUCCACUGGAGGACACCAGCUGGGCUACAUCUAAAGCUACAACUCCCAGGACGCCUGGUGGCUCAGCCGUUGAGCGUCUGCCUUGGGCUCAGGUCCUGAUGCUGGGGUCCUGGGAUCGAGUCCUGCAUCGAGCUCCCUGCAGGGGGCCUGCUUCUCCCUCUGCC
Molecule: long non-coding RNA, 3337 nt
Organism: Canis lupus familiaris (dog)
Lineage: Eukaryota; Metazoa; Chordata; Mammalia; Carnivora; Canidae
Exons: 3
Source: RefSeq, a predicted model, not a curated record